This 1144-nucleotide ribosomal RNA is filed under the name uncultured organism. RNAcentral describes it as "bacterial SSU rRNA". It matches the Rfam family "Bacterial small subunit ribosomal RNA", at positions 202 to 1353 of the family's 1533-position model. The record is from RNAcentral.
UAAAGCUCCGGCGGUUAGAGAUGAGCAUGCGUGUCAUUAGCUAGUUGGUAAGGCAACGGCUUACCAAGGCGACGAUGACUAGGGGGUCUGAGAGGAUGGUCCCCCACACUGGUACUGAGACACGGACCAGACUCCUACGGGAGGCAGCAGUGAGGAAUAUUGGGCAAUGGGCGCAAGCCUGACCCAGCCAUGCCGCGUGCAGGAUGACUGCCCUAUGGGUAGUAAACUGCUUUUAUACGGGAAGAAUGGUUCCUACGUGUAGGGAUUUGACGGUACCGUAUGAAUAAGCAUCGGCUAACUCCGUGCCAGCAGCCGCGGUAAUACGGAGGAUGCAAGCGUUAUCCGGAUUCAUUGGGUUUAAAGGGUGCGCAGGCGGAAUAUUAAGUCAGUGGUGAAAUCCUGCAGCUUAACUGUAGAACUGCCAUUGAUACUGAUAUUCUUGAAUAUAGUUGAGGUGGGCGGAAUGUGUAAUGUAGCGGUGAAAUGCUUAGAUUUUACACAGAACACCGAUUGCGAAGGCAGCUCACUAAACUAAUAUUGACGCUGAGGCACGAAAGCGUGGGGAGCGAACAGGAUUAGAUACCCUGGUAGUCCACGCUGUAAACGAUGAUCACUCGCUGUUGGCAAUACAUCGUCAGCGGCUGAGCGAAAGCAUUAAGUGAUCCACCUGGGGAAUACGAUCGCAAGAUUGAAACUCAAAGGAAUUGACGGGGGCCCGCACAAGCGGAGGAACAUGUGGUUUAAUUCGAUGAUACGCGAGGAACCUUACCUGGGCUUAAAUGCAGAACGACGUUUCGGGAAACCGGAAUUUCUUCGGACGGACUGCAAGGUGCUGCAUGGCUGUCGUCAGCUCGUGCCGUGAGGUGUCGGGUUAAGUCCCAUAACGAGCGCAACCCUUAUCGUUAGUUGCCAGCGGGUAAUGCCGGGGACUCUAACGAAACUGCCGGUGUAAACCGUGAGGAAGGUGGGGAUGACGUCAAGUCAGCACGGCCCUUAUGUCCAGGGCUACACACGUGUUACAAUGGUCGGUACAAAGGGCAGCUACCUGGCAACAGGAUGCUAAUCUCGAAAACCGAUCUCAGUUCGGAUUGAAGUCUGCAAUUCGACUUCAUGAAGCUGGAUUCGCUAGUAAUCGCGCAUCAGC